Molecule: RNA transcript, 1514 nt
Organism: Oncorhynchus mykiss (rainbow trout)
Lineage: Eukaryota; Metazoa; Chordata; Actinopteri; Salmoniformes; Salmonidae
Gene name: tubulin polyglutamylase ttll6-like
Source: RefSeq, a predicted model, not a curated record
UAGAUUUGGGUAUGUCAUUUUAGGCAAAAAUUGAAAAGGGGGGGGGGCGGAUCCUUACGAGGUUAAUAGUCUGCCUUGACUGAGUCAUAAUAGAGUCUGCACUGAGUCAUACGUCAUUAUCCAAACAUAAAAUGAAAAAGUAGCACAGAGAAAAUGUAAUUUUACCAAGCCCAUUCCAAUGUCCUCAAGGAGCAGAGCCAGCAGCAGAACUCCAGUGUGGAGCUAGACCUGAGCUAUGAGGGCCAGCACCUGGGCGGCUUCUGCAGGAUCUUCCCCCGCCAGGGAGGGGAGGAGUACGACAAGUACCUCAAACACAGCAGCUCCCUCUUUCAGGAGACAGCUGCCACCAAGGCCAGAGAGAGGUGCACCAGAGAGCAGUUGCAGGAGCCCCAUGAGAAACAUAGCCAGAGCAGGUGUCAGAGACUGGGCCUGCUGGGGGAGUCAGCAGGAGACACGGGUAAAAUCCACAAAGCACCCCUCUGCCCCAUCCAUCCCAAUUCUCUGGCCUGCUCCGCUCACUUCCUCCCAGGGUGACCCAGGCGCUGAAGGAGGGGGAGGAGGGGGAGGAAGAGCAUCUCAGGGGGCUGCAGCUGAGGGCCAGCCUGCUCAGAGACCUGGCCAGGUGUUCGUCACAGUGCCACCUAUUGUCAAGACUGACUUACGGCAAUAGAUAAGCAACAUGGCAGCCUAGUCAGUACCUCGCUGGGUAACCACCACAACAACAGCAGCUCUAACGGGCCCUUUGCUGAAAUGCAAGUGUAAGGCCCUCCCCCUAUCACCCUGAGGCUGCCCCACCCAAGGCUGCCCCACCCUGAGUUAUGUGAAGGACCCAGCGAUUGUUUGUGGUAACAAAUGUCACCUCUCUUCAGGUUUUGGGCAAACUGGUAAUAUAAGGUGGGUGAAAUAAGAUUUUCUCACACCUGUUGGGGAAACCACAGCAGCUGUCUUAGUCUUCAGCCGUGACCUAAUGUGAACACAGCGCAAGGCUCUCACUCCAGCAGCCCACUUACGGCUGCGGCAGCUCUCCAGCGGUAGCUUUGUGUAAUCGUAGGGAGUGAUGAAGAUAUACCAGGCUACAAACCAGACCGUGGUCAACCGCUGUGAUUAGGCAGAACACCAGACCAGGAAGCACCUUGUCGACAACAAGGCCAUCGACCACGAUCACUCAAGGAACCUGCUCAAAGAAGAAGCUAUGGACUUAGAUAACGGCAAGGCUGCUAACCCUUCCAAGAACCAGCCAAACCAGCCAAUCUGACUUGUUGAGACUGUAUGUUGUACUGGUCAACAUAACUACAGGCAUGCUUGUGGAUUGCAUGCUGACACUUGUUUUUACUCUGCCAAAAUGAUUUUGUCCAGAUGAGAAUGUGGAUGGAACAUUGGUUCAUCUGUCAAGCCUCAUCAAGAGACAUUACUCCUCAAUAAUAAUAAUAAUACCUACAUGUUUCAAGCAGACCACCAUCGUCCUUGUGCCCAAGGAAGCGAAGGUAACCUGCCUAAAUGAUUACUGCCCCGUG